Molecule: long non-coding RNA, 41073 nt
Filed under: Populus tremula
Lineage: Eukaryota; Viridiplantae; Streptophyta; Magnoliopsida; Malpighiales; Salicaceae
Description: long non-coding RNA (PTRE_LNC001350)
Source: RNAcentral
UGGAUUAUCAUCGCCACGAGCAUAGAAGUUGUCUGGCAUGGAAACGAUUUCGAUACCAUUAACGAAGGCAAAAGAUGCUGGAGACGGAAUGAAGGUUAAUUCAAGCUUCUGGUUGUCCCACACGGUGAUGAUGAACUCUUUGGUGAAGGAGUCAACUGGAGGUCUUAUAGCAGAAACUGUAAGAGAGGCACUAAAGUUGUUUAGUAGCUGGUAGGUAUUGGCACUAAGCGAAAAAUAGGAUUUGGAUAUAUCAAGAUUUGAGUAAGAAGAUGGAUAAAAGUAGAGACGCACAAAUUUUGGGCCAGGCAAGACUAGAAAUGUGUAAGUGAAUUUAGAGUGAAAAAUACGGGCUGUCUUGUAUGGGACUUGGUCGACAGAGGGGUCUUGAGUGGAGGCUUCAAACACAGAUGAGGCUUCUGGGGGAUUAGAGGCAGCAAACUUCGGCUGGGAAUCACCAUCCCAGCUGCGACCAUCUGGAGAUGACAAAUUAGAGGAUGCACCACAGUUAAGGAGUAUUAGAUCAGUGGGGCUGUAUGGCAGCAAGUAAUCUUCAGUAGCAGUAACAUAGAGGAAGAGAUGGAGGGGAGGGAGAAGGUAGAGAGCGAUGAAGAUGGACAUUAUGCUAUUUCUUUUGUGGAAUAGGUUGGAGUAAGAAAACCUAUGCAUUAAAUGCAAAGAUUUUGAUUUAAGGGAAGAUGAUCAGUGGCGUUUUUGUCUCCAUACAGUAGUAUAUUUGCUCAAGUUGAGAAUAAUCCAAUAAUAUAUUUGAAGCCCGGGGGAGUAGAAAUUCGACGAUAUGGCUAAUGGGAACAUAUUGCUCGCUGUACUUGGUCAGCUUUGGAUGGCUGCUUUCCAUUGUGUGGUUCUGAAUUCUGCCAUAAAGACGCCAUGAAUAGUCUAUGAAACUUAUUUUUCUUUUCUUUUUUCCUUGACUUUUUCAUUCUUUGAUUAAGAUCACACACACCACUUAAUUUCUUAUUUGAUUAAUAUUCUUAACGAGGUUGAAUGUAUUUCAGGUUGGUGUUCACCAUAACAAAUGCAGUAAUCACAGCUCCGAGAUUAGGAUUCAAAAGGUGCAAAGCUUCUUUUUCCUUAUGGUCACCGCCUUGAUACAAUGAUUGUCGCAAGUGCAAGUCUAUAUAAUCCUCACCGAUGCCUUCUGUCCAAUACACACACAUCUUCAUUAUAGACUGGCCUUGCUUCAGUCUUCAAUAAGAAACAUCGUUCUUGUUCCUCAUGAGUAGCCCUUUGACUCGCCUCAGAUCCAUGAAGUCUCAUUUACUUCUUUCUAUUAUUCUUCUGCAAUGAUGUCUUACUGAUAAAAUGCUCUUGUUUUUGGUUAUAAAUGAUAUAAUUUUACACAGGAACUAAUAGGAGGCUCAAAGGAUCGACCUAUUCCUUUUUGGUUCAUGAGUGUGCCUUUUUGGGCUGAGUUUAAAACCAAAAAUCUUCUCAUCUGGUAUAGUAAUCGCUUAAUUACUACAAAACUUGGUGGUAAUGAGAAAUCUUUCUUCCCAUUAAUCGAAGAAUAAUGGAUUUACCUCUCGACAUACUUGGUGCCGAAUAAAAUCAAUAGCACUAGUGAAGAAGAGGCAAGCUGUCCUCUCUUCCCUGGAGAUGGCAAUUUGUUCUCUCUCAUCCUGUUAAGCUUGGUUUCCAUACAUGAGGGGAAACUGAAUGGAGUUCUCGGUGGAUGAAAAAUAAUUGUAAUAAUAAAUGAAAUGAGAUUGAGUUUCAUUGUUGAAAAAAUCAUGCUGAAAUCACUUCAAUCCUAAGAUUAAUGAGUCGCUAUUCAAAUGGAAACCCACGCAGACAGAUAAAGAACUGACCCCUUUGUCCCCUCUUCCUCGAUCAACUACCAUGUUUGCACCGAUUGUAGUAAGUGUGCAAGGCCGAGAGUUAGGAUUGAUCGGUUUUGCACAGUUGCCAUAUAUUUGUGCAUUGCAAAUUGGUUGUCGUUCUAAACUCCUAUAGUUAAUAUAGUUACCCUGAGAGGCCAGUAGUCUCUGAUGCACUUCAGAUUCCAUAGAGAAGUCCUCUUCAUUACCUUCACCGAUUGUGGCAUUGAAAAUUGGACUCGAGUUUGCUUUUAGGAAAGGCAGCUGCAGAAGCAGAUGUGAUCACUGAAACCAGCAGGAUAGUUAAAGAGAGCCACCAGAGGAAUUCAAUACUUGCGUUAGGCCUCAUCUCUUUCUUUCUGUGCCCUUCUGUUACAGAGUUUGAAGAGCACUAAAUAAACGUCACUGCUAAGAAGGCUUCAAACUCUGGAUAUGGAGUGAAAGGCUAGCUUUUUUCCAUUUACAUGCUUUUUUACUGUGAUUUUAAUGUUGUAAACUAUUAAGAAUUAUCUCAAUUUAAUAACUUAAAUUAUUAAGUAAGAUCUUAAAAUAUAAUUUAUAUUAUUCAAGAAUAUUUGACAAAACAUCCUGCCACUUAUUUUAACUAUAUAUAUAUAUAUAUAUAUAUAUAUAUAUAUAUAUAUAUAAUCUGGAUUUUUGUUAGUGAAUUCAUCCUAAUCGGAACUUGAUAUUUCAUAUAAGGCUUCUUGAAGUUUUUUUCUUGUAUUCUGACUUUGAGCUUGAUGAUGCAAGGUUUUCUUGAAUUCAACUUUUAGUGGUGAGAAACGUAAAAAGCAUGCACAACUUUAGAACAAGCUUGAGUUUCUCUAAAUUUGGGUCCACCACCAUUUGACUUUGAUUUUUCUCAUUAAAUCUAAAGAGUAACCAAUAUCUUCAUUUAUAUCAUUCAUUAUAAUGGAGUCCCAAGAUAGCAUGAGACACCAAAGGUUGCGAUGAAAUAAAAGGAGGCAGGAAUUGAAUUCAAAGGUAUUUUUGCUGUGAACAAUUUCAAUCCUUUGUAUGAUUUUUUAGGGAGAAUCUUUCUUAUUGAAGAAAAUAUUGCCAUCAAUUGUUUGGGAACUAAGUUGGAAAAUUCUUUGGACAAUGUUUUAUCAAAUUAGAUGAACGAUGAAUGGUCAUAGGUUUUUAGAAAAAAUAAAAUAAAUUAAGCUUGUUGAUAAUCAAAAUAAAUGGAUCUUAAAGGUUGGUAGUUUUGAGAAAAUCUUUCAAGGUGCAGGGGUUUUGAUUCAUGUCUUGAAAGGUUAUUAAAACCUUUUGAAUUUUUUAUUUUGAAAAAAACAAGAUUGUUUACAUCUUGAUUAUGAAUUAUUUCAACAAAGUCAAUAUCAGCUAGAAUAAACUGAUAGAAUUGUCUUGUUUUCAACAUAUUUUCUACAUUAACUUGAAAAUAAUAGCUUCUUGACUUGAAAGGGUUAUUAUUUAUUUUUUUUGGGAGAAAAUUUGGAUGGUAAUAAACAUGAGUGAAAGUACAAGCACUAGGACAAUAACAAGAGAAAGAAAAUUAAUAGUUGAAAUAGAAUAGAGUAUAAGAAUCCUAAUUUAUAGUUUUAUUGAUGAAGAGAAAAAUCCACUAUUUCUUUUGCCUCUUUAAGAUGUUUUCAACUCUUUAAAUAAGCUCAAAAAUCAAACAAAACAAACUAGAAAACCAUAAAAUAAAGAAAAAAAUAUAUUAAAAUUCCUAAACAAACUUAAAGAAAUAAAAUUACUAUUCUCAAUAUUUGAUUUCCUAAACUAAAUAGAAAAAAUAAAAUCACCAUAAAAAAAUAUUUUUCUAAACUAAAUAAAAAAUAAUAAUAACUAAAAAAUCUUAAUUUCAUAAAAACCCAUGGCAUCAACAAUAACGUUGUUAAAGGUGCAUUUUGGGAUUGAACAAACAAGGGAGUUUGAAGAGAUUAAGAAUAAUUUAUUAUAGGUGAGCUGUUUGGAGUAGAUCAUGCUGAUGAAUAAAAACUAGCCUCACGGUAUCUUGAAUGCUUGAUGUUGUGGCUUGAAUUGGUUUUGAUGGUGUAAGAGCAUAUGAUUUCUUUUGACUUCUUGACCAGGAUGCUCAUUUUGAGCCUAGUAAAGACUCUUUGGAUAAAAGACUCUUUUACUUCUUUCAUGAAUUCAAUCUCGAAAUCAUAUUUUGAUAGAUUAUCUUGACACAAUAUUUUAAAUAUUUUUUUCAACAAUAUAUUUUAUAUAUUGAUAAUUUAUUAGUAAAAGCAAUUUUUUUCUGGAAAAUUAAUAAUUUCUGGAAAAUAUUAGAUGUACAAAAUAUUUAAUAUUUUUUUUAUAAUUAUAUAAUUUUCUUGUGGACCCAAUCAAAUACCUAAAUGAUAUUGCACUACAUGUUCUUGACUUUGAAAAUUUUGUUUGAGAAUACCACUUUAACUAAUAUAAAGGCAAGGCAUCAGUUUCAACUAAAAAAAAACUCUCUAGAUCAGGAAGUUUUAAACAUGAAAACUCUUGAGUUGAAUUUUAAGAGCAUUCACAAUUUUGAUAAUUUGAUGAUUCCAGGCAUCCCAUAAACAAUACCAGUCUUAAACAAUUUUGUUUGAUGACUUCUAAGGGUUUUUCUCAUCAAGUCUUUUGUAUAAAGGUUGACAUAUAUUUAUAAGAUUUGAAAAAAUAUCUAAAACAUAAUUGAGGCAUCCCAUAAACUUUUAAAGCUGGGUUUUAAUCUUGAUUUUAUUUAUGAAUUUAUUAGUAAAUUUUAUUGAUCAAGUGAUAAGGGUUAUUGAUCAUUGAUAUAUAUUGUACCCUAAAACAAUUAUUUUUAAUAUAUUGACAUCAUCUUUAAAGUCGAGAUAACUAAUUCAUUUUGUUUGAUAAUAUCAAGAAAUUUUUGUAAAUUGUUGAAAUGUUUGGUUAUUGGUUUUAAAAAUAAAAAAAAGACAUCAUCAAUAUAUAUAAUCAUAAAUUUUGAAUAUGGAUUAAAGAUGUUAUUUAUGAUGCUAUGAAGUUUUGAAGGAGUAUUUUUUAGUUCGAAAAACAUUAUAUCUCAUUUGUAAUGAUAAUGAAAUAAUGAAUGUUGUUUUGUAAUGAAUUUUUUUUUUAUCAAUUUAGAUUUGCUAGAAUAUUGAUUUAAUAAAAAUAUUUUGAAAAUAUUAAAGCAUUUUAAAGUCUUUUCAUAAGAUCUCUCUUGUUGUGCCUUGGAUAUCUAAUAUAUUGGAGCACUUUGUUAAGAGGCUUGUGAUUCAUGAUCAAAUGUCUUAGUGCACUUCUUUGUAUUUCAGCUUGAUUUCAGACAUAAAAAGGUGGCGUACGAUCAUGAUAAUUUACUAGGGCUUAUAAGGCACUUUUUGAGUAAUUCAUUAAUUUAAUUUUUUUUAAUAAUAUUUUAGUAUAUUUUUUAUUCAUUUGAAUUGGUCUUUCCUUUGUAGGGAUUUUCUUUUCAUUAAAACCUUUUUAAUAAGGUAACUGCACUUAUGACAUUUUUUUUUAAUCCUAAAAGGCACUAGGCAAGUUGGAACAUAAUCAUUUUCUAGAUGGUAAUGACUUUGGAAUACUGACGUGAGGUAAUUUCCAAUUAUCAUUGUACGUGAUUUGAUCUCAUUAUCAAAGUUUAGGAACUUGAAUGUUUGAAUUUUGAAAGUUAGCUUCAAUUCGAAGAGUUUAAUUUAUAGAUGAUUUUUUGAGAGCGGAGCUAUGUUUGUAUCCAUGAUUUUGUAAUAUAUUCUAUAGAUGAUGACUAUAUUUUUGGAAUCUUGAAGCAUAUCAGUUGGAGUCUUAAUAUUUAGAGUUAAAGUUUUCACUAUAAUAUCUAGGUUGAAUAAUGAGAUAGUGAAAUUUGGAUAACAAUUCAAGUAUGUAGAACCAUUAGCAAGAUUUGAUUGAAAGAUUGUAAGUAGUGAGUUUUAAAAGGUCAUAAAUUGAGGUGAUGAAUUGGUUUGACUACAAUUUGUAUGAGAGAGAGAGAGGUGAUCAUUUUUUAUUUGGUUUUUAUAAAAAAAGUAAUUAAACUAGAUUUAUAAAAAAAAAAAACAAAACUGAACCGAAACCGGUUCAAACUGACUGGUUUUGAUUUGACUCAAUUUUUGUUUGAUUGGGGUUCAGUUCGGUUUGGUUUUUCAGUUUAAAGUUUAUAAAACCAAAAUCAAACCAAACCGGUUGGGUUUUUAAAAAUUCUAAUCGGUUUUUUUCAUGGUUUGAUUUUUUUAGUUAAUUUGUUUUUUUUGUUUUCUUAGUUUAAUCAAUUUUUUGAUUUUUUUACUCACUCCUAAUCUAUACUAAACCCAUGUGAUAAAAAAUUAUCUUUCGUUAGUGUUUGGAACAAAAAAUAAGGAAAGAUAUAAUUGUUUCAGAUUGUUUGAUGAAGGCUGGUCUAGAUCAUAUAUAAUUGUCAUUACACAGUGCCGGUCUAACUUGAAAGAUGUUAAUACCCCAUUAAUUGCGACGCCUAAGCUCAUAACCAUAUCCAUGAAUUAUGAUCACCAUUAAGGAAGCGCAUAGGAACUCUUUAAUUUCUAGUUGCUUCUUAAUACAUCUUCCUGGACAUGCAUGUGAUCUAAAGGAACAAAGGGAAAUUAAAUGCUUAAGCAUGAAUGUGAUCGUUCUCUAUAUGUUCGUCUUCAAGCUUUGAAAUUUUUAUAGCCCAAUUAUUAUUAUAUUUUUAAUUUUUUUAUGUGGGAAAAGAGUAUCAAAAUUGUGGGAAAUAUUGUCGAACGUGUGCGGCGGUCGCGGCGAAAAUAACAUAGUUUUUCCAUUUUCUUAAUCUAUAAUGUAAAUCUAUCUAUAUCUAUGGGGAUACAAAAAUAUUGUCUUUUAUUGGUAGAAAAUGGAAUGGGAGUCGCCACCUAGUAUUUUGGUCACUAGGAACCCUAACUGGUCUCAGAGAUCGGGUACGGGGACUGGUUGCGUAAAGGGAAGGUAUUAGCACCCCAAAUACGCCCUACCUAAGGUAAGCUGCAUUGUUUUAUUGUCUGAUAAAAACUAAGGUAUUUUCGUGUUUUCCUAGUUGUUGGUCUGUCUAUGGUUCAAGAAAAAUCCUCCUCGGUAAGAAAGGCUUUAUCUUAUCGGGUAAAAUCCUAACCGUUCUAACGUCCAUACCAAAAUUUAUUAAUAAUAUUUAGGAAUACGUUUUACGUAUAAAUUCGUAAUCCCAAAUACUAAAAUAAAACAAAAAGAUUUUUUAGAAUUUUUGAAAUAUUGGCCUAGUUCUCAUGGCUUGAAUAAACUGGUUAUUAAAGCCAAAAUGCAUGUUAAUACAUAUAUUGUUUUGAAAAUUUUCUUUGUUGUGUGAAAAUAUGAUGUUAUAAUAUUUAUAUGUAUAUAUUGGAGAGACUAGGCCGUAUGCAUGAAAACAAAACCCUUUUUUGGAAAAUAUUUAUUUUUUGAUGUUUUAACAAAAAUCGGGUAUUUUAAUACUGGGUUUGUAUUCUUACGGUAUAAAAAUACAACCCAAUAUUAAUCCACUAUAAAAAUAUGCAGAAAAAUCAACAACAUUUUUAGGGACUUUUUAGAAUUUUUUUGAAAGCAAAAACAUUUUUUAUUUGAAAAUCUUUGAUAUUUUGACGAAAACCGGGUAUUUUUAACACUGGUUUUGUAUCUUUACGGUAUAAAAAUACAAACCAACAUUAAACCACUUUGACAAAAAUGCAGAAAAUCAACAAUAUUUUUUAAGAUUUUUCAAAAUAUAUUUUUUAAAGAAAAAAUAUACAUAUAUAUAUAUAUAUAAUAUAUAAUAUAUAUAUAAUAUAAUAAUACACACACACACACAUAUAUAUAAUUCACGUCCUGCGUGAACAGUAGGACGUGAAUUAUAUUUCACGCCUACUGUUCAUGCAGUGAACAGUAGAAGGAGGAAGAAGAAGAAAAGGAGGAAAGGAAGAAGGAGGAGGAGGAAAGGAAGAGGGGCUCACUUGGCCGAAGAGGUUGUGGCUGCUGUGAUGAGGUGGUUCAGCCGGUGGUUGCAGCGGUGGAGUUGGAGGAAGACGGCGUCGGUUUCCUGUUGCAGAGGAAGAAAGAAGAAGAAGAAAAAUCUGCAGAAAUUGGGCGAAAAUGCUGGUUUUUGGCUGACUUUGGACCUGAAUUUUUCAACCCUCAGAUCAUCAAAUCCGACUCUAUUUAUAGGCUGUGGAAGAGGGCAAUCUUGUCUACGUUGGGGAAAAAUUUCAGCCCUUGAUUCAGUUGGGAAGCAUCUCAACCGUUGGCUCAAAGUGUGCACCUCGAGCUGCCAAAUUUGGCAGCUCCAGGCUGUGAACUGCCCGAGGUGGCCACUUUGAGCCACUCACCGGAGCCGUUUAACUUUUUCGACCCGACCUGACCAUUCUCCGGGAUAAAGGGGUUUCAUGUGGACAUGUUGGUGUAUGUUGUGUCGGAUUUGGAGGCCACACGAGCCGGAAAAUGCGCCUGGAAAGCAGCCACUCAGGCAGCUUUUUGAGGAAGAAGUGAACAGUAACAGGCGACGUGUCACCUGGUUUCCCUGUGCCAUUUUUUAAAUUAGUCCUCCAGUUUUCAAUUUCUUCAAUUUGACCCCGAUCAAUCCAAUACAGCCCCCCUAUUUACGCGCCUUUUCCAAAUUGGUCCCUGGUUUCGGAUUUUCUCAAUUAAGUCCCUAAUUGCCAUUAAACUUCAAUAUUUAUGCAAUUAAGCCCCUGAUUUGACCUAAUAAAUUCCUAAAAAAUAAUUUUGGCCCCAGAACUUAAAUUUCUUUAAUUAAAGCCCAAAUUGACUUAAAAAUCAAAUUUCUUGCAAUCAAAUCCCCUAUAAAAUCAAUUAAAAAUCCAAUUAAGUCCAUAAACAUCCAAAUUUGGGCUUUUCUCCUCAAAAAUUAAAAUUUCUUAUCCAUAAGGGCUCUUAUCAUUCAAGAAUAUAUUGUCAAAAAUCCAUCUUUGUAUUUUUAACCUCCUUGACUAAUUUUUCUGACCAUUUGUUGAACGCUUCUGCCUCAUGUUAUUUUUCUAACCUCCUUUGGCUAUUUAUUUUAUUUCAUUUAUUUGGGGACCCAAAAAUGGGUUAGAACAGAUGCCCCCUCUUUAUAAUGCUUACGGAGCAAGGGUUUUGCGCAGUAAGUUUUAUAAAGAUAAACUCAAAACAGAACUCCUGAAAUUAAUCUGGUUGAAGCUUGAUUGAUCUAGAACUUGUCUUUUACAACAAUCCUCCUCAGCGCCAAAAACUAUGAUCAAAAUUUAGUCAUCUUGUGCUCCCUUCUGGAGAUCUCUUUAAACCACAACCAAAAUCCUUUCCAAUUAGGUUAAACUGAGAUCCCUUCGUUGAUCCCCUUUAACCAUAACCAAGGUCUGUGUGGUGAGACUGAAUUGAGAUUCUUUCGUCGAUCCCCUUCAACCAGAACCAAAAUCCUUUCCAAUUAGGUUAAACUGAGAUCCCUUCGUCAAUCCCCUUUAACCAUAACCAAGGAAUUUGUAGGGUUGGGCUAGACUGAGAUUCCUUUCGGCAAUCCCCUCUAACCAGAACCAAAAUCCUUUCCAAUUAGGUUAAACUGAGAUCCCUUCGCCGAUCCCCUUUAACCAUAACCAAGGAAUGUGUAGGGUUGGGUUAGACUAAGAUUCCUUUCGGCAAUCCCCUCUAACUAGAACCAAAAUCCUUUCCAAUUAGGUUAAACUGAGAUCCCUUCGCCGAUCCCCUUUAACCAUAACCAAGGAAUGUGUAGGGUUGGGUUAGACUGAGAUUCCUUUCGGCAAUCCCCUCUAACCAGAACCAAAAUCCUUUCCAAUUAGGUUAAACUGAGAUCCCUUCGCCGAUCACCUUUAAUCAUAACCAAGGAAUGUGUAUGGUUGGGCUGAACUGAGAUCCUUUCGUCGAUCCCCUUCAACCAGAACCAAAAUCCUUUGCAAUUAGGUUAAACUGAGAUCCCUUCGUCGAUCCCCUUUAACCAUAACCAAGGAAUGUGUAGGGUUGGGCUAGACUAAGAUUCCUUUCGGCAAUCCCCUCUAACCAGAACCAAAAUCCUUUCCAAUUAGGUUAAACUGAGAUCCCUUCGCCGAUCCCCUUUAACCAUAACCAAGGUGUGUGUGGUUGGGCUGAACUGAGAUCCUUUCGUCGAUCCCCUUCAACCAGAACCAAAAUCCUUUCCAAUUAGGUUAAACUGAGAUCCCUUCGCCGAUCCCCUUUAACCAUAACCAAGGUGUGUGUGGUUGGGCUGAACUGAGAUCCUUUCGUCGAUCCCCUUCAACCAGAACCAAAAUCCUUUCCAAUUAGGUUAAACUGAGAUCCCUUCGUCGAUCCCCUUUAACCAUAACCAAGGAAUGUGUAGGGUUGGGCUAGACUGAGAUUCCUUUCGGCAAUCCCCUCUAACCAAAACCAAAAUCCUUUCCAAUUAGGUUAAACUGAGAUCCCUUCGUCAAUCCCCUUUAACCAUAACCAAGGAAUGUGUAGGGUUGGGUUAGACUAAGAUUCCUUUCGGCAAUCCCCUCUAACCAGAACCAAAAUCCUUUCCAAUUAGGUUAAACUGAGAUCCCUUCGCCGAUCCCCUUUAACCAUAACCAAGGAAUGUGUAGGGUUGGGUUAGACUGAGAUUCCUUUCGGCAAUCCCCUAUAACCAGAACCAAAAUCCUUUCCAAUUAGGUUAAACUGAGAUCCCUUCGCCGAUCCCCUUUAACCAUAACCAAGGUGUGUGUGGUUGGGCUGAACUGAGAUCCUUUCGUCGAUCCCCUUCAACCAGAACCAAAAUCCUUUCCAAUUAGGUUAAACUGAGAUCCCUUCGUCGAUCCCCUUUAACCAUAACCAAGGAAUGUGUAGGGUUGGGCUAGACUGAGAUUCCUUUCGGCAAUCCCCUUUAACGAGAACCAAAAUCCUUUCCAAUUAGGUUAAACUGAGAUCCCUUCGCCGAUCCCCUUUAACCAUAACCAAGGUGUGUGUGGUUGGGCUAAACUGAGAUCCCUUUGCCGAUCCCCUUCAACCAGAACCAAAAUCCUUUCCAAUUAGGUUAAACUGAGACCCCUUCGUCCGAUUCCCUUUAACCAUCCAACCAAGGAAUGAGUAGGGUUGGGUUGACUGAGAUUCCUUUCGCAAUCCCCUCUAACCAGAACCAAAAUCCUUUCCAAUUAGGUUAAACUGAGAUCCCUUCGCCGAUCCCUUUAACCAUAACCAGGGAAUGUGUAGGUUGGGCUGAACUGAGAUCCUUUCGUCGAUCCCCUUCAACCAGAACCAAAAAUCCUUUCCAAUUAGGUUAAACUGAGAUCCCUUCGUCGAUCCCCUUAACCAUAACCAAGGAAUGUGUAGGGUUGGGCUAGACUGAGAUUCCUUUCGGCAAUCCCCUAACCAAAACCAAAAUCCUUUCCAAUUAGGUAAACUGAGAUCCCUUCGCGAUCCCCUUUAACCAUAACCAAGGUGUGUGGUUGGGCUGAACUGAGAUCCCUUCGCCGAUCCCCUUCAACCAGAACCAAAAUCCUUUCCAAUUAGGUUAAACUGAGAUCCCUUCGUCGAUCCCCUUUAACCAUAACCAAGGUGUGUGUGGUUGGGCUGAACUGAGAUCCCUUCGCCGAUCCCCUUCAACCAGAACCAAAAUCCUUUCCAAUUAGGUUAAACUGAGAUCCCUUCGCCGAUCCCCUUUAACCAUAACCAAGGUGUGUGUGGUUGGGCUGAACUGAGAUCCCUUUGCCGAUCCCCUUCAACCAGAACCAAAAUCCUUUCCAAUUAGGUUAAACUGAGAUCCCUUCGUCGAUCCCCUUUAACCAUAACCAAGGAAUGUGUAGGGUUGGGUUAGACUGAGAUUCCUUUCGGCAAUCCCCUCUAACCAGAACCAAAAUCCUUUCCAAUUAGGUUAAACUGAGAUCCCUUCGCCGAUCCCCUUUAACCAUAACCAGGGAAUGUGUAUGGUUGGGCUGAACUGAGAUCCUUUCGUCGAUCCCCUUCAACCAGAACCAAAAUCCUUUCCAAUUAGGUUAAACUGAGAUCCCUUCGUCGAUCCCCUUUAACCAUAACCAAGGAAUGUGUAGGGUUGGGCUAGACUGAGAUUCCUUUCGGCAAUCCCCUCUAACCAAAACCAAAAUCCUUUCCAAUUAGGUUAAACUGAGAUCCCUUCGCCGAUCCCCUUUAACCAUAACCAAGGUGUGUGUGGUUGGGCUGAACUGAGAUCCCUUCGCCGAUCCCCUUCAACUAGAACCAAAAUCCUUUCCAAUUAGGUUAAACUUAGAUCCCUUCGUCGAUCCCCUUUAACCAUAACCAAGGUGUGUGUGGUUGGGCUGAACUGAGAUCCCUUCGCCGAUCCCCUUCAACCAGAACCAAAAUCCUUUCCAAUUAGGUUAAACUGAGAUCCCUUCGCCGAUCCCCUUUAACCAUAACCAAGGUGUGUGUGGUUGGGCUGAACUGAGAUCCCUUUGCCGAUCCCUCAACCAGAACCAAAAUCCUUUCCAAUUAGGUUAAACUGAGAUCCCUUCGUCGAUCCCCUUUAACCAUAACCAAGGAAUGUGUAGGGUUGGGUUAGACUGAGAUUCCUUUCGGCAAUCCCUCUAACCAGAACCAAAAUCCUUUCCAAUUAGGUUAAACUGAGAUCCCUUCGCCGAUCCCCUUUAACCAUAACCAGGGAAUGUGUAGGUUGGGCUGAACUGAGAUCCUUUCGUCGAUCCCCUUCAACCAGAACAAAAUCCUUUCCAAAUUAGGUAAAUUAGAUCCCUUCGUCGAUCCCUUUAACCAUAACCAAGGAAUGUGUAGGGUUGGGCUAGACUGAGAUUCCUUUCGGCAAUCCCCUCUAACCAAAACCAAAAUCCUUUCCAAUUAGGUUAAACUGAGAUCCCUUCGCCGAUCCCCUUUAACCAUAACCAAGGUGUGUGUGGUUGGGCUGAACUGAGAUCCCUUCGCCGAUCCCCUUCAACCAGAACCAAAAUCCUUUCCAAUUAGGUUAAACUGAGAUCCCUUCGUCGAUCCCCUUUAACCAUAACCAAGUGUGUGUGGUUGGGCUGAACUGAGAUCCCUUCGCCGAUCCCCUUCAACCAGAACCAAAAUCCUUUCUAAUUAGGUUAAACUGAGAUCCCUUCGCCGAUCCCCUUUAACCAUAACCAAGGUGUGUGUGGUUGGGCUGAACUGAGAUCCCUUCGCCGAUCCCCUUCAACCAGAACCAAAAUCCUUUCCAAUUAGGUUAAACUGAGAUCCCUUCGCCGAUCCCCUUUAACCAUAACCAAGGUGUGUGUGGUUGGGCUGAACUGAGAUCCCUUUGCCGAUCCCCUUCAACCAGAACCAAAAUCCUUUCCAAUUAGGUUAAACCUGAGAUCCCUUCGUCGAUCCCCUUUAACCAUAACCAAGGAAUGUGUAGGGUUGGGUUAGACUGAGAUUCCUUUCGGCAAUCCCCUCUAACCAGAACCAAAAUCCUUUCCAAUUAGGUUAAACUGAGAUCCCUUCGCCGAUCCCCUUUAACCAUAACCAGGGAAUGUGUAUGGUUGGGCUGAACUGAGAUCCUUUCGUCGAUCCCCUUCAACCAGAACCAAAAUCCUUUCCAAUUAGGUUAAACUGAGAUGCCUUCGUCGAUCCCCUUUAACUAUAACCAAAACGAAAAUGCAUGAGUGGUCUCAUUAUGAUGGGUGACCUACCCGAAUGGAAAAGAAAAAGGAGUGGUCUCAUUCUUAUGGGUGACCUACCCAGGGGGAAGAAUUCUUAGUAAACUCCAUGCUUUUUUAAGAAAUGGUUUCAAUAUGAGGUCCCUUCUGGCGACCUUCCUUGAUGAAUGUCGAAGUACGAGAUCCCUUCUGGUGAUCUCAAAUAACUUGGAAUCCCAUCGGGCGAUUCCUUUUACCAAAGCUGAAAUAUGAGGUCCCUUCUGGCGACCUUCAUCGAAAUACGAGAUCCCUUCUGGCGAUCUCACCAAACAACUUGGAAUCCCAUCUGGCGAUUCCUUUUAUACAAAACUGAAAUUUGAGGUCCCUUCUGGCGACCUCCAUCGAAAUACGAAAUACGAGAUCCCUUCUGGCGAUCUCAACAACUUGGAAUCCAUUGGCGAUUCCUUUUUACCGAAUGCUAUCGAUGUCGUUCUUCCUGCUGGCAGGGUUUGAAAACCAUUAUCUUCUCUUCUUGUUGUUCUAGAAUCAACUCAAUGAUUCUUUCUUCGUCCAUAAUCUUGUUGGAAUGCGCUAAGAUCUCCUCCUGUAACGAUCCAAAAAACAUAUAUGCAAUGAUUUAUGAUUAGAUGCAAUGCAUGCAUUCGUACCUGGUUUUGAAACAUAGGCCCCAUCCUCUUCUAGUUCAUGAGACUCCCUCUUAACAUGAACUUGCUUUUGAAGUCGUAUGCUGGAUUCAUCUCUCGUGUUGCCUAUCAUAUUCUUGGAGAAAAGUCUUUGACUUUCUUCAAGUAGUCCUUUUCUCAAAAUGUAUGACUUGUAUUUGCCUCUUUGUCAUGCUUUUGUCAAAUGCUUUAGCUUGGUUUUCAAAUCUAUAGGCUUCAUCCAAUUUUAAACACGUAAAACUUUUCAUAAAACAUCUCGUCUUGCCCCCAGUGUAGGGGUGCGAUAUUAGUCUGGGUUUUAUAUAGAGAAGAAUUCAUUCAGCCAGUGAUAAACUUUUUUAGUGAGUGAAGAUAAUGAUUUUUUUUUUUUCAAAAUGCACAUUGUUAUAUAAACUCUAUUCUUUAAAAGACAAUUACAGAUGAUUAUAAGACCACUUAAUCAUUUAUCAUUAUCAUCAAGGUUGUAUUUAGGGUUAGCUUUUCUUAAAUUUCAUAUUAAACCAUUUUAUGAUACUUUAUUUGUAACCACUCAAACUUGUUCAAAAAAUGCAUAAACUCAUCAUUUAUUUAAAGAAAAGGUAAGCUCAAACACAAAAAUGGCUGACAUCAUGAGCCUGAUUGCCCACUAGAGAAAAAAAAGCAAAGACAAAAGCAAAUGACAAAAACAUGCUAAGGCAAAUAAAGUUGUUUUACAUUUUGAAAACUACGAGAAGUUCUUGGGUCAACCCGUUCUGAAACUUCUUCUAGUGUGUGGAAAGUCAACCGAGGCAAUGCUUCAUCUUCCUUCCCCACUUGCGUUUCCUUGUCUUCUCCUUCGAUCUCGCCUUCUUCAUUAUUGACGAUUCUUGACCAAGGUUUUCCAACCUUUAUCCCCUAUCACUUUUGUCAUGACCAGGCAAUGGAUUUGAAUGAUAUUGGGUGUGUCUUCAAAUGACACCCAUCCUAUCUUGAUGAGCUUCAACAACUUGUUCUUGAAAGUAGCACGUUUCAAGACAAUGCCCGGGAAUACCAGCAUGGUACUCGCAAGUCAACUCGGGCUUAUACCAGAUGGGGAAUGGUGGCUGUAGUGGUAAUGUAGGGAUAGGAGCUAUUUGUCCAAUGCUCAGUAGUUUGGCAUAUAUGUCCUUCAGAGGCAUGGGUAAUGGCGGUAGUUGUUCUGAAAUGUAUCUUGUGUUUGGUCUUUGGUGGUUGUUUUGGGUGUUUGACUGAUUUGCUCGAUUAGGGGAAAAAGGUUUGUUAAAGUUUAUGUGGGCCACAUGAGAGGUAGGUAUUUGUGGGUUAUAUGAAUCUGUUAUCUUGUCAUUGGACCCACCUUCGAAGUUGUUAACGGGACCUUUCAUUUUUCUUCCGAAAAAACCCUUUGUCUCCAAUGGCUCAAUUAUGCGUCCAGCUUUAAUCCCUUGCUCUAUUCUUUCCGCUAUGCGUACAACAUCAUAGAAAUGUUGAGAUGAGCUACCCAUUAAAUGCUCAUAGUAGGGUGCCUUGAAUGUAUUGGCGAACAAAGUCACCAUCUCCGUUUCUAUCAAAGGGGGUUGCACAUGCAUGGCCUCGUCCCUCCAUCUUUGCGCAUAAGCCCUUACUGAUUCUUGGCUUCUCUUUUCCAUUGACAUAAGGCUUGUUCGAUCUGGAGCAAUUUCCAAAUUGAACUUGUAUUGCUUAAGGAAAGCCUCAACUAAAUCCUUCCAUUUCUUGAUCUUGGCAUUAUCCAGCCUCAUGUACCAACUUAGCGCCGACCCCGAUAGACUGUCUUGGAAAAAGUAGAUCAGUAACUUAUCGUCAUGAAUCACCUCAGCCAUCUUAUUGCAAUAAGAUCGAAGGUGAGUGUUUGGGCAUUCCAACCCAGUGUACUUUAUAAACUCCGGUAUCCUAAAUUUUUGGUACCGUGAUGUUUGGUACCAAGCAUAUUUCAGACGCUCGCAUGGGGUCAAACCAGUCAUUUCCCUCGACUGCUCUUAACCUUUCUUCCAAGGCUGAUAUCUUGUCAUCGUUCAUAAAACCAGUGGACCUAUUAUCGGAAGGCCCCUCUACAGUGAUGUGAGCUUGAGGGGGCUGAAUGGGAAUGGCAGUGCAAAGUGCUGCCCCGUCACUGAAUCUGCCCCCAAGUUCUGAGAUACCCCCGGGACAUGAACUGACGGUGCUCCUAUAGGUGGUUGGGUAGAUGUUCCCUCCCCGUUCUUGGCUCUUAAAAGUUGCUCAAGCAGAUUGGUCAGUCGAGAAACUUCAUUUUACGGAUUCCAAUUCACUGGUAGUGCGACUCUAGGAUGCUCUCUUCUUCUCCAUUCUUGAUCUGGACCGGGUUUGGUGGACUCUGGAUGUGGGACCUAUGUUUCACGAUCUGUAAUGCAUAUGAUAACAAAAUGCGUGAUGAAAAUGUGAUGCACAAGUGAUGAUGUAUAACAUUGCAAAAAGAUACAUAACCUAAGGACAAGCUCUAUUUAUUAAGUGAGAGUGGGUAGUUUUUUCUAUCUGUCUUGAAGGUCUCAUAUCUGCCCAGUGACGUUCUUCGUAAAGACAGUAUGGGGGCGUUGCAAGGAACAGUUAAGACACGUAUGCCCACCAUUACCAAACAGGCACUCAGAUAUGAGUUGGGUGUUUCACGCAUUUAAACCCUGACCAAUAGUCUUAGGGUAAAUCGCUAAUUCCCCACUUAACUUAAAGCUUGUGUGUGCUUCUCAAAAUAAAAGCAAGUGAUGCAUGAGAUAAUUUUAUACAAUGCAUAAAUAAUACGCGUAAAAUAAAAAACAAACAUGCAAAUAAACGGAAAGGCAUAUUAACAAUAAACACACGAAAACACAAACAAAUCAGACAAAAACAAAGCUUAGUCUACAAGGUCCCCAGCGGAGUCGCGGCGAAAAUAACAUAGUUUUUCCAUUUUCUUAAAUCUACAAUGUAAAUAUAUCUAUGUCUAUGGGGAUACAAGAAAAUAUUGUCUUUUAUUGGUAGAAAAUGGAAUGGGAGUCGCCACCUAGUAUUUUGGUCACUAGGAACCCUAACUGGUCUUAGAGAUCGGGUACGGGGACUGAUUGCGUAAAGGGAAGGUAUUAGCACCCCAAAUACGCCCUACCUAAGGUAAGCUGCAUUGUUUUAUUGUCUGAUAAAAUCUAAGAUAUUUUCAUGUUUUCCUAGUUGUUGGUCUGUCUAUGGUUCAAGAAAAAUCCUCCUCGGUAAGAAGGUCUUUAUCUUAUCGUGUAUAAUCCUAACCGUUCUAACGUCUUUACCAAAACUUUAUUAAUAAUAUUUAGGAAUAUGUUUUACGUAUAAAUUCGUAAUCCCAAAUACUAAAAAGAAAACAAAAAGAUUUUUUAGAAUUUUUUGAAAUAUUGGCCUAGUUCUCAUGGCUUGAAUAAACUAGUUAUUAAAGCCAAAAUGCAUGCUAAUACAUAUAUUGUUUUGAAAAUUUUCUUUGUUGUGUGAAAAUAUGAUGUUAUAAUAUUUAUAUAUAUAUAUAUUGGAGAGACUAGGCCGUAUGCAAGAAAACAAAACAUUUUUUUGGAAAAUAUUUGUUUUUUGAUGUUUUAACAAAAAUCAGGUAUUUUAAUACUGGGUUUGUAUUCUUACGGUAUAAAAAUACAAACCAAUAUUAAUCCCUUUUGACAAAAAUAUGCAGGAAAAUCAACAAUAUUUUCAAAGAUUUUUUCAGAAUAUAUUUUUUAAAGAAAAAAAUAUACAUAUAUAUAUAUAUACAUAUAUAAUAUAAUAUAUUAUAAUAUAUAAUAUAAUAAUACACACACACACAUAUAUAUGUAAUUCACGUCCUGCAUGAAUAGUAGGACGUGAAUUAUAUUUCACUCCUACUGUUCAUGCAGUGAACAGUAGGUAAGGAGGAAGAAGAAGAAGAAAAGGAGGAAAGGAAGAGGAAGGAGGAGGAAAGGAAGAGGGGCUCACUUGGCCGAAGGGGUUGUGGCUGCUGUGAUGAGGUGGUUCAGCCGGUGGUUGCAGCGGUGGAGUUGGAGGAAGACGGCGUCGGUUUCCUGUUGCAGAGGAAGAAAGAAGAAGAAGAAAAAUCUGCGGAAAUUGGGUGAAAAUGCUGGUUUUUGGCUGACUUUGGACCCAAAUUUUUCAACCCUCAGAUCAUCAAAUCCGACUCUAUUUAUAGGCUGUGGUAGAGGGAAAUCUUGUCUAUGUUGGGUAAAAAUUUCAGCCCUUGAUUCAGUUGGGAAGCAUCUCAACCGUUGGCUCAAAGUGUGCACCUCAAGCUGCCAAAUUUGGCAGCUCCAGGCUGUGAACUGCCCGAGGUGGCCACUUUGAGCCACUCAACAGAGCCGCUUCUAACUUUUUCGACCCGACCGGACCAUUCUCCGGGAUAAAGGGGUUUCAUGUGGACAUUUCUGUGCACGUUUUGUCGGAUUUGGAGGCCACACGAGCCGGAAAAUGCGUCUGGAAAGCAGCCACUCAGGCAGCUUUUUGAGGAAGAACGUGAACAGUAACAGGCGACGUGUCACCUGGUUUCCCUGCGCCGUUUUUAAAUUAGUCCUCCAGUUUUCAAUUUCUUCAAUUUGACCUCGGAUCAAUCCAAUACAGCCCCCCUAUUUACGCGCCUUUUCCAAAUUGGUCCCUAGAUUCGGAUUUUCUCAAUUAAGCCUCUAAUUGGCCAUUAAACUUCAAUAUUUAUGCAAUUAAGCCCCUGAUUUUACCUAAUAAAAUUCUAAAAAAUAUAUUUUGGCCCUAGAACUUAAAUUUCUUUCAAUUAAAGCCCAAAUUGACUUAAAAAUCAAUUUUUCUUGCAAUCAAAUCCCCUAUAAAAUCAAUUAAAAAUCCAAUUAAGUCCAUAAACAUCCAAAUUUGGGCUUUUCUCCUCAAAAAUUAAAAUUUCUUAUCCAUAAGGGCUCUUAUCAUUCAAGAAUAUAUUGUCAAAAAUCCAUCUUUGUAUUUUUAACCUCCUUGACUAAUUUUUCUGACCAUUUCUAACCUCCUUUGGCUAUUUAUUUUAUUUCAUUUAUUUGGGGACCCAAAAAUGGGUUACAACAAAUAUAUAUUAGAAUAUUUCAUGGACUGAACUGCUCUAUGAUUGUGCAUUUAUAGCCCAAUUAUUAUUAUUUUUUUCUUUUUCCUGUUAAUUGCAUUUUGGAAUUCAUUUGAUUUGACAUAAUUUGAACUGGAAGAAUGAAUUGGGUUGGCCUUCAUUUGUUCUGUUUUAAUGUGACUGAGAGCCUUAUUUUUUUAAAUGUAUUGUCACUCAUUUAGAUACUGACUAAGUAGAGUUUGCACUCAGAUUAACAUACAGUAUUCAUUCAUUCCAUUAAGCCUUAAUGGAGUAGUGAAUGAAUAAAAUGACUUUUAUUAUAUGUUCCUUGCCUGUGGUCCUCUACUACGUGGACGCUGAACUGGAGCAUUGGAGGUUCCCCCAUUGCUCCAUUGUUGGUAUAUUUGAGCAACUAUGAAACAUGAAGCUGGCCAAUAGGUGUCUAUAAGUAGUACAUAGAUUUUACAAUAGAAACAUGGUGCAAUCAGUGUUCUAUAUGCACGAUCAAAUUUGGGGCUUCACUGUACUACCUCAGAUACUGUCAAAAUAUGCUUCUUGGAAUUCGGAAGCUUAGAUCAUCGGUUAACAUGUCUGGUGUUGGUGCUUCAUGAAAUGAUGUUACCUUUUCUCUUUCUGAACGUUAUUUCCAGGUUGGAAAUUCAAGUAAUUAGUUCAAAUCGAUCCUAGAAGAUUGUUGUUACUCAAAUUUUGACCCACCUUUUUGAUAAAAUUUUUGAAAAAUCCAAAAAUAGUGAAAAACAACAAAAAUCCAAAAAAUAUGUUUUUAAUAUAUUUUGCAUCGUUUUUAGCAUUUUCAACGUCGUCUAAAAAAAACACAAAGAAUUUUAAUUUUCAAAGGUUUUUCGAACGCGUUCGACUUUUCACGCGUCAUUUUUAAAAUCAUUAAUUUUUCUCAUAGAAUUGACGUUGAUUUUGCUCGUUUUUAAAAAUACAAGAAAAAAAAAACAAGACAAAUCAAAAUUUACAAAAAAAGAAAGUUGAGGGACCAAUUUUGAUACCCGGACAACAUUUUACCUAUAAAUAUAGGUUGAAAACUCAAAAAAAGAAGAGGGGGGGUCAUUUGGUAAUUUUGAGGAGAGAGAACACAAACCAGAAACCCUAAGAGCCUAAUUGUUUCUCCCCUCACAAAAAGAAGCCGCCGGCCACCCCCCACUUCUUCUUCCUUAUUAGCCAAACAGCCUGCACCUCACGGAGGAUUUUUUUUUGACAGACUCCACCAAAGGUUCUGCUCCCUCACCAGCACAACCCUGGACCUGGCAUCUCCCUCAGCCUAAACAGACCCGCCGUCCCCUGUUCCCUUGAUUUUUUUUCUUCUCUCGCCCAAACCAGCCACCGCAGCUCUCCUCUUCCUUCUUUCUCCUACAACCCGAUCUUCCCACGUUUCCUCACAGGACGACCCUCCAUUUUGAUUUUUCUUCUUCUCCACCUGACCAAGCCGAAAGAGGAGCGGCCCGCCCUAGAUUGAUUUUCUUCUCCUUUCUCGGCCGACAACCAAGCCCCCCCUGGUUUUGAUUUUUGGCCGGCUGCGAGAGAAGCCUUCGGCUCUCGGACCCAUAGCCUCCCAGACCCGCACGGCCAGCCUCAUCCCCACCGUCCCGCUCCUCUCUCAGUCGACAACACAGGCGCCUCCACCACCGGCCACCCGAACCAGCGUCACUGACCGUUCCCCAGCUCUGUCCGACCUCUCUCUCAGCCAUCGUGGACAGACCACCUUCUCACUCUCCUCUCAGUCGGUCGUCGCCGAAGAAGCAACACACACAGACCGGCCUUUCUCCCCCAAGCCCCGACCGAGCGCCUUCCUCCUCCACAAACGUCGUCCCAUAUAAGUCGGGCCUCUGCCAGCAGAAGAAAAGAUGAAGAAAAGGAGGGCAGAUCUGCAGAUCUAAAAGAGGAGGCAGAGGAGCAAAAAUCUGAGAAAAUUAAGAAAGAAAUUGAAACCGAUUGUGUUGUGUGUAUUUCUAGUGUUGCAGGUGAAGGCGUUCCCCACUGCCGGCGUGGGAAGGCAGAGGGGAAGAAGACACUAGUCCCCUGGUUUUUUUUUGUUUUGUUUUUAGCGGCGGCGCGUGAGCCCACGCGCCGCCAGUGGUGGUGUCGCGUUGGGCGACGCGCCGCCACUGUUCCUGCGGGUGGCAGAAGGGCAAUGCUGCAAUUUCUGGAGUUUAGGGACUAUUUUAUAAAUUAUGUAAUGUAAUUUUUAUUUAGUUUAAUUUGUUGUUAUAAUUUGUAAUGUGAUGUAUAAAAAGAACAAAAAACAAUAAUGUAAAAGAAAAGAAAAGAAAAGAAAAGAAAGAGAAAAUGAUAAUAAAAAAGAAAAGAAAAGAAAUGUUUGUGUGUGCUUGUAUGUUUUUUUUAUGUAUGUUAUUGAAUAAAAAAAAAGGAAUUUAAUUUAUAUGCACAAAUAUCUAAAGGACAGAUAAAAAUCAUGUUGAAUUUUCCAUGGAAAUGUAGAACAUGUAUCUACAUAUAGUCUUGAAAAGUAAUAACUGAUUUAUCAAAGCCUUAGAAUUGAGCUAAAAUUUUAUUUUUAAUAUCACAUCAAGUCCACAAAGCUUGAAAGUGAAUGUGGCGUGUAUUUCUGUUUAUGAAUGUUUUUUUAUUAUGAUAAAAUUGCAAGAAUAAAGAAGAAUUUAAUAUUCUGAUUUGAUCACGGAUAAAGAAUUAUGAACUUACAUGUAAGUUGUAUUUUUUAAAAUUCGAUGAAAGAACAUAAUUUUUAAAACUUCUUUAACACAUCAAGUCCACAAAGCAGCUUACCUCAGGUAGGGUGCGUUAGGGGUGCUAAUACCUUCCCUAACCACAACCAGUCCCUUACCCGCGAUCUCUGACAAGACCAGUACAUCAAGUUUCUUAGUAGCCCUCAAUGAAUUACUAGGUGGCGACUCUAAAGAACCAAAUCAGCAAAAAAGAACGAAUAAUCGCCAGCCGAUGCCGUGCGUGGAUUUUUUCGACGUGCUACAAAGAUGAAUGGUGGCUUAGAAUGCUGUGAAAAAAUCAUUCCCUUGUUCAUUUUUCAAAUUAGAAAAGACAACUUUUUGCUUGAACUUUUAGAAUAUAAAAAAUCAUACUUUCAUAGCUAGACACUUUCCAUCUAUGAUCUUUAAAUCUGAAGACAUAACAUCUGGUUUAAUGAAAGUGCUAUUAACAUGCCAAACUUUAUUAGAUUGUUGUUGUGCACUUGGGAAGAAAUAAAAUACUUGUCCUCUAUUGUUUUCAAUAGCAUAAUCAGCUUCAUAGUUUUCUACGUUGUCUUUUUACUAGUAGUACCUUUGUGAAUGUCUGGGAUUUCUGUCUUUUGCAUCUAUACCAGCACUCUUUUACUUAGUGUCCACCUCAUUUUCAAGUUCAUAAGUAGGAGGAAAGAAUGUAAAAAUAUAGCCAUUUGUUUUCUGGUUUUUUGCUGGGACUUUUAUUUAAAAUUUGACACAAGUGUUUUAUAUAUAAACAUCUCGAUUUAAUUUUUUGUUUCCUAAUCGACGAGGAAUUCCACUCACAAGUAAUAUCUGUACAUUUUUUCUCAUGUUUGGUUAAGGCUAGGAAAGUGAAACAAAAAUCAUGUUAUGCAGUAUAAAAAGGUAAUGGAAGUGACUGGUUUCACCAUCACCGGUAAAGUGUCUGUAAUGACUGGCAUGGCCUAUGGGCUACAUUAUGCUUAGAUCCGUUAAAAUCAUGUAUGUAAUGACUGGCUAUGAAUGAAGUUUUUGUAAUUUAAAAAAAAAAAAAAAAAUUCUGUGAUGUCCAAAGUACACUUAUUAUGGGCAUGAGGAAGUGUUAAUUUACAUAGUUAACAUCUGGCCUUCCGCAUGUUUUUGCUUAUUUAUUGAAGUCACAAAGUUCUUUGUUCAUCUAUGGUGACACCUGUGUAGUUUAAAGUGGGGAAAUAUCAGAGUACAGUUAUUAUAGCAUAAUUUUGAGAUACUGUUUUAGGGAUUGAGAUUUUUAUUGGCUGAGAGCUCCAUAAGGUACUUGGAUGGUCAGCCAACAUCUGGCCUCUCCUGUUUUUCAAACUUCAAUGGUAAUGACCAUAGUUCAUUUUUCAAGGCUUUGAUUAUAUAAAUUUUUCCAGGUAGUCUUAUAUAGGACCUACUAUCUACUAUCAGACCACAUGUCAACUUGACUCUGUUUGUUCUUGCUGGUAUUAUUAUUUUGCCUGUUAAUUGCAUUUGUUUUUCUAUGCAAGAUGUUUUUCAAGCAAUUGCUAUCUAUUUGUAUGUCUGCGAUAUGCUAAGUUUGAGAAUUCCUUUCUUUUCUCCAUUCAGAGCGGUUGUGUGCAAAGGAUGAAUAGAUGUGAACCUGCUAUUGAUCAAUGGUAGAGAUUUGGUUCUGAAGGUGGCUUGAUCAAGUUAUCUUUGGAGUUGGCAUUUUCACACAGGCAGAAGAAAUUUUUCUUGUAUUCCCAACCCUGAUACAAUAUUGUUGGUCUAGUCUUUGGCAUUACCGCCACUGAGGAGCGAACCUCCUAUUGAAUCUGGAUUAGUUACAGAAUUUUAAAGACUUUUUAAUCCUCCUGAGAUUCUAAGCACCGAUUUACUCUCCCUAGGAACGCAAGUUAGGAUAAAUGAGUCAGUUAGAUGCUCCACUGGUAUAUCCAUUUUUCAUUUUGCAUAGCUAGUGUAUUCUUGUAGCAAAAUAUUUUAUCCGUUGCAAUUAUAUUGUGAUUUUUCCAUUUUGAACUCGAGAAAUUUUAGUGUAGUAUCUGGAAGACCACAGAGUUACGUGCUUCGGCAGAAACAGUUGUAUACCUGAAUGAAAUCUCUUGUCAAUAAUAAGGUUUGAUUACUCUUUGGAACUCAUUUACAGUACAUGGUUCUCUAGUCACAUGCAAAAGUUGCAGGUUGUUCAAAAAUGGUGGUUAUUUUGGUUUUGGUGAUUUAAGCACUUAUUACUGCAAUAUCAGCAAUGAGGAAAAGCAACUACUGAAAAUUGCUCUUAAUGGUGAAAGCAUUAUACAUCAGGUGUUAUUUGCAGCAGUUCGCAUCUGCUUGCAUAACUGUUAUUGGCAUCCAGCUUGGUGAUGUUGGAUUCUGUUGCAGCAAAACAGUUCUUGUGCUGGGAUUCUGAUGAAUCGCGGUGUGAUUUUUGUACUUAAUGUCAGAAGGUAAUGAACAAUUUCUACUUUCAUCCAUAUUGAUAUAUUCGUCUUAUUUCAGGGAGCAAUGAACAUAAGUGGAUAAUGAGAUUUGGGAUUCAUGCUUGGAAAUGUUCUCACGUUUUGGGUUCGAAAGAUUGAAACAAUUUCUACUUUCUCUUGUUUCAUUGAAGUGAUAAACUAACUGCAACAUUAAAGGUAGGUGUGUUUGAGAAUGUGAUAAUGAUUGUGUUUUAAAUUGUUUUUUAUUUAAAAAUAUAUUAAAAUAAUAUAUAUUUUUAAAAAAUAUUUUUGAUAUCAACACAUCAAAACGAUCUGAAAAAUAUAAAAAUAUAAUUUUAAGUAAUUUUUUUCUUUCAAGUUUUGGUGGAAUGUGGUUUGAACCACAUUUCUAAAUGGGGCCUAAGUAUUCUUAAACUUUAUUUUGAGUGAUUUAGUUUUAAUUAAAGAUCAAUUGAUUUUGAUUUUUUAUGAAAAAAUUUGAUUGAAAAAAGAGAGAUCUAAAUGAAAAAGGCGUCAAACAUGGUGAUAUGCUUUAAGUUUUGAAAAUGAUCUACUUUGAUCCUCAAAUUUUAAAAAACAGAAAUUAUAUAAUUUCGAUACCUUAAUAUUUUUCAAUUUAAUUUUGGUAUGAAAAUUUAUUUUUGUUAUUUUUUAGUUCUUGAUUGAGAGUGAAGAGAGAAGUCGUUAAAUUCCAACGAUAAAUAGAGAAUCAUGUCGUUGACAUUGAUUUAGGCUACUAAAAUGGAUGAUAUUUGUGUCAAAUAGUUCUUUUGAAUUGAGAGAGUUCAUAUUAGGUGUUUUUCUUAACUUGAAAGUUCGUUAAAAAACAAAUAUGAUCUCGGGUUGAUUUUUGAUUUCAGGUUCAUUAAUGUUUUUUCAAAGGGUUUUUUUUCUUUUUUUUAAGGCUAUGAAUAAGUUUAUCAUGGUUCUUAAUGUUUUUUAUAAGUGUUUUGGGAAAAAACUUAGGCCUUGAUUUUUCGACCACCACAGUGGUUAGAAUUUGGGCAAGAUCAGACGACGUGUUGUCUGUCUAAACAGGUGAUGUGUCAUCUGAUUUUUUUUUUAAAAAAAUAAGGGUGGACAACAUAUCAUUCGCUCUAAGAGUAACAAAAAAAAGGACUUAGACGAGCCCUAAUGAAAUGGGUCAUGCCCAGAAGCACUUGACCUUUUAUUUCCCUAUUGUUUUCAAUUAAUCCUUAUUUUUAUAUGUUUUUUUGUAAAAUAAAAAAUUAAUAACAUUUAGAUUAAUACCUCUUUUCUUUUUUUAUUUUGUUUAGAUGAACUAUAUUUUGGAAAAUAAAAAAUAUUUAUUUUCAAAUAAUAUUUCUAAUAUGUGUAGUAUAUAUGUGUGUGUAUUUUAUUCAAUCAAUUUAAUGUCGUUUGAAUAAAAAAACAUUGUAAUAAACAAAAUUUAGCAACAUAUAAUUAAGUAAAUGUCAUGUCUUGCAAGAUUAAAUAUCUUGAUCUACACAUGUCUCUUGAUUUUUCUAGUUUUAUUUUUAGAUAUCAUUAAUGGCUUUUUUUAUUUAUUCAUUAGCACACAUAGUUCUCAGCUUACUUGAUUACUUGUAUGCAUAAACUUUUUUAUCUACACUUUAAUAUUUUGAAUUAUAGAAAUGCGUUGAAAAAACCUGCAUAUAUAAUGUUUUUAUAAAAAAUAAAAAUAUCUGACAUGCAAAGGAGCACAAGUCAUAUAACUACUAGUAGUACUAAAUUCAAGUUAUAAAAAAUAACAUAUAGCACAAGUAAAUUGCAUAGAUAAGACAUCAAUGACACAAACCCCUCCAUUUAUAGAUAAUGGAGCGUCAAUUCUUAAGUUUAGGGAGACACAUGGUGGCCGUAUAAGUCUAUAUUGGAUUCAAGCAAUCUGAUUCAUUCUUCAUAGUUAAUGUAUCUAGUGACUUGACAUGAAAAGCCUAAAGAGUUGGUAACUAAUAGUAGGUGAUGUAUGGUAAGCAAGGUGACCAAUAGUUGGUACUUGUAAAAGGUCCUCUUUGAUGGAUGUGGGGAUUCUCCGAUAGUAAAGUUAGUAACUUUAUAGAAAGAGAAGGUGCAAUAAUAUUUUAGAGAGAGAUACUCUGAAAAUAUAUACAUAGUAGAGAAUGAAGGAUUUAUGGUGUAUUUCUAGCUCAUGAAUCUUAUCUUUUUUGUGAAGAGGAGAGACUAAAGUGUAUUUUAACAUUAUGAUAUUUUGAGUUGUAUUCUACUUAAAAUAAUAUGUAUUUGAUCAAUAUAAAAUAGCCCGAGCUCGUGUUUCUUAGGUGUUUUCUGAUUUUGUUUUUUAUUUAGAGGAUUUUUUUUGGAUCAAUUUUGGAGAAUUUUUUAGAUUUAUUUUAUUUGUAUCCAUCAUAUUCUAUUAUCAAUUUAAAAAUUCCGAAGAUAUAGAUUAAGAAUAUAUUUUGUAUAUAACUUCCUCAUUUUCCAUUCGUAACCCAAUAACACAUCUUGAAACACUAAACUAAGGUGAACCUUCAAAUAGGAAACUAAAUUUUAUUGAAAGUUUACCCCUUUCACAAUAUCUGACACUAAACAAUGAAUAGCUUCAACAAGGAGGAUUUUUUAGGAAAAUUUAUUUAUUUUUAAUGUUUUUUCUAUUUAGUGUAAGAAGUUAAAUUUUUAUUUUUCCUAGUUUAUUUAGAAUUUUUAUUACUUUUUUUUUUCUUCAAGUUUUCUAGUUUGUUUAGGUUAGUUUUUAAGUUUAUUUAAGAAGCUGUAAACUUUUUAGUGAGGAAGACUAUAUGAACAUAAAAUAUUCAGUAAUAAAAUUAUAAAUUAGAAUUUUGUGAGAUAAUUUUAUUUGGCUUCAAUCAUGUCUUUAUAGCUUAUUGUAUUUUUUUGUUUUUAUUUUUGUUUUUUGUUAGUUGAUAUUAGAGUCCAACGAUACCAAUGGUUAUUUUCUUGCUAUGUGCUUAAAUAACCAUGACUAGAAGAUGUAGUAAAAUAAGACAUGCUCGUAUAGAAAAGGAUGAAAAGGUUUUUCUUGAGAAAGAGAUGUUUAAACGAUGGUGAUAGAAAAUAUGUAAAAACAAAUUGCAAAAUUGAAAAGAGAUUUUGAUAUGAUAUAAGACAUGCAUAAAAAAUUGCAAUAUUAACCCCUUAGUUGGCGGAGGUAAGGAGCCUAGAGUAUCUUGAGAAAAGUUACCAUGGAUUUAUAGUUAAUUUUGAGAAUUUGUUUCAAAGAUGUAAGUAAAGAAAAUAACUUCUUGAUUGGGAUGAAUAUGACAUUAAAAUUAAAUGUUUUGAUAAUUCUAGUUUCUUUGUGGACUAGAAUCAAAUACUAAAAUUUGACUAGGAUGAUGAAAAUGACGGCAAAGAAAAAGAUUUAAAUGCAAGUUUUUUUAAUUGGUGAUCUCCAUGAGAAGAUAUCAAAAUUAGAUGUGGUUAUGAAGCAUACCGUGAAGGAUGUGUGUUCAAGAAAAUUUUUAGAAUUAAUGAGGUGAAAGCUGAUGCUAUUGCAAUUCAGCUCAUGCAAGACUUCCAAGUCGUUGGCAGUAUCCAAUUCCAAUAUUAUAGACUUCAUCAAAGGUAGUUUACGAAGAAAGUACCCAUGAGACAUGAUUAUAAUAAAAAGUCGUUGUCGGCAGGGGUGGAGCUAGAAUUAUUUGUUAGGGGACUAUAAUUAAUAUAAUAAAAUAUAAUAUUUAUUUUACUUUAUUGUACAUGAGUUGUAAAAAAACCUGUAUAAUUUAGUUUUAUUCAAAGAACUUACUAUAAACAUAUAAUUAUCUUUGUAUGAGGUAAAAGGUUUGAAGAAAUACCAAUUGAGUCAAAGCAACGAAGUUAAUUUUAUCUUCAUAAUAUAUUCAUCACUUUAAUGUUAGUCUUUAUAUCUAUCAAAUAUAAACAUACAAAGUAUAUAAGAAACAUUAGCUAAAACGAAGUAUUAUUUAUGUUUGAUAAACUUUGAAAUAAAGCAAAAAAUAAUAAAGAACUAUUCUCACUAAUCAAUGCGGGUUUUUUGUAAACUGAGGCGCAUUGGAGUUGCUCAAUCAUAACUUUAACAUUACACAUUGGAGUUGGUUCACUAGGCUGCGAGUUAUCAAUCACCACCAGAAAUUCGCUAAAUACCAACGGACAUACCGACGGAAUUUUUUCUGUCGGUAUUUUUCGGCCGAAAUCACCGACGGACAAUAUUCGUCGGUAAUUAGGUCGGUAAUUACUGACCGAAAAUUCAGAAUUAAUGAAAAAAGGGCGGGCAGGUGGCGCGGAGGUUUUGGCGGGUGAUUUUUCCGACGGAAUUAAAAACUGGGGCCCGUACGCGUGAUGAGACCUGUUCACCGUCAAAAAAUACCGACGGAAUCACCGACGGAUUUGAAAUGCCAGAUCCGUACCGGUGACGUGACCGGUGCACCGUUAAAAAUACCGACGGAAUCACCGAGGGAUUUGAAUAGCAGGUCUGUGCGGUGACGUGUCGAUUGCCCAUCAGAAUUAUCGACGAUUUGGCAGACGGAGUCACCGACGGAAUCCAAACCGUCGGUAAGUCCGUCGGCAAAAGUGAAUAUAUGGCUAACCCCCCCCAUCUGCAAAAUAACCAGCCCCCCCUCGCCCCAAAACAAAAAUCUUCCUCAUCUCAGCACAACAAGUUGUAUUUCUUGAAGUUUUGUGGUCACAGCAUCCGUGUUCUGAUUUAUCGAUGGAUUUUAUUAUUUUUUGUAAGUAAUUCUAUCUUUUAAAAUUUUAACAUUUAAAUGUCAAUUUUAUUGUUUUUUUAGUAUAUGUAUUUUUUUUUUUAGUAGAUGUACAUGUUUUAUUGUUAUUUCUCAAACAAACUUGUAGUAUAUGAAUGUAUAAUUUUAUACUUGUUAUGGUUUGUUUUAGAUUUUGUAAGAUUGUAUUUGUUUGAAAAUUGUUAAAACUUAAUUUGUAGAAUUACCGAAUUACAUGUUAUGUUUUGAAAUAAUUAAGAGCUUGCUUAAUUAAUGGGUCCUUUUUAUAGAGGUUCGAUAGAAGUCAUGGAUGAUCGUUCAUGGAUGUAUCUAGAUUCACCCUAAGGAUUGCGGAGGAUGGAUUAUUGUAACGGGGUUCAGGGUUUUAUUAAUUUCGCAACAUCUAUUCCCAUAAAUUUUACUGGAGGCGGUAUUAGGUGUCCAUGCAGGAAGUGUCAAAAUAAAAAGUAUCUGCAUCCAGAUGUUGUAAUGAUGCAUCUUCUACACAAAUGGUUUGUGGAGGAUUACGAGUGUUGGUAUGCACAUGUAGAGGUAUUUGUUAGUAAUAGGAGAAUGGGAGAAACAGUGGUUGGGUCAACUUCUAGUGCUAGCAACGUGCAUGAAGCGGCAAAUGACAACACUAAUCCUUACAGAAACAUGGUUAUGGAUGCAAUGAGAAUGAAUCAAGAUAAUGUCAAUCAAUGUCCAAUCGUAGAAGAAGAACCAAUGCAGAGGCAGCUAGGUUUUUUGAUUUGUUGAAAGAUUCUGACGAACCAUUAUGGGAUGGCUGCACAAACCACAGUAAAUUAUCGGUUGUGGCACAGGUGUUCACCAUCAAGUCAGAUCACGGGUUGAGUGAGGCCGGGUAUGACAAAAUUAUUGAUUGGGCAAGAAGCAUUUUACCAGAAGGGAACAGGCUCAAAGAGAACUUCUAUGCUGCGAAGUCCAUGAUGAAACCCCUCGGUUUAGGAUACCAGAAAAUUGACAUGUGCCCUAACUUCUGCAUGUUAUACUACCUUGAAAAUGUUGUGAUGACCGAGUGCAUGACAUGGUGGCAUAUAAAAAACUUAGAUAUUUCCCGAUCACACCUAGACUGCAGAGGUUAUUUAUGUCACCAAGGACUACUGAGCACAUGACAUGGCACCAAACACACGAUGUCGUUGAUGGUGUGAUGGUGCAUCCUUCUGACGGCGAAGCAUGGAAACGCUUUAACAGUGUUCAUCCUGACUUUUCUGCUGAAUCAAGGAAUGUUCGACUUGGGUUGUGUACAGACGGGUUCAACCCAUUUGGGUCAUUUGCUGCUCCCUAUUCUUGUUGGCCGGUCAUUCUCACAGUUUAUAACUUGCCACCGGGAAUGUGUAUGAGGCCGGAGUUCAUGUUUCUAUCUACUGUCAUACCCGGUCCAAGCAGCCCGGGGCGGAAUAUAGAUGUUUGUCUUCGACCGUUGAUAGAUGAGCUGGCGCAGUUGUGGUCCUCCGGAUCUCUGACUUAUGAUAUAUCGAGGAAACAAAAUUUCCUUAUGAGGGCGGCUUUGAUGUGGACUAUCAGUGAUUUUCCAGCUUAUGGAAUGCUUUCUGGUUGGAGCACGCAUGGGAAACUCGCAUGUCCAUACUGCAUGGAAAACAACAAGGCAUUCACGCUAGCAAACGGAGGUAAAGCUUCUUUUUUUGACUGUCACCGUCGCUUCUUGCCACUUAAUCACAGGUUCAGAAAGAACAGAAAAGAUUUCUUUGUUGGUAGAGUUGAAAAAGAUGUUGCAUCCCCGCGUCUUUCUGGUGAAGAAUUGCAUCAUGUUGUAUCAGAGUACGGUGACAUUGUGUUUGGCCUUCAAUCAGGUAAGCAAAAGUUUCCUGGUUUUGGUUUGACCCAUAAUUGGGUAAAGCGAAGUAUCUUUUGGGAGCUUCCGUAUUGGAAGACUAAUCUUCUCCGCCAUAACCUUGACGUCAUGCACAUCGAAAAGAACGUGUUUGAGAAUAUUUUCAACACCGUCAUGGAUGUGAAGGGGAAGACAAAGGACAACAUGAAGGCUAGAUUGGAUAUAGCUUUAUACUGUAACCGUAAAAAUAUGGAGUUGGUUUAUGACGAGUCACGGGUUGCAAAACCAAGGGCAAGCUUCGUGUUAGAGAAAAACGCACAACUGCUAGUCUACAAAUGGCUUAAGAGUCUGCGUUUCCCGGAUGGACAUGCAUCGAACAUAUCAAGGCUUGUUAACAUAGAGGACUGCAGAUUGUAUGGAAUGAAGAGCCAUGACUGCCACGUGUUUAUGCAAACACUCAUCCCAUUAGCUUUUCGUGAUUUGUUGCCAAAGGGAAUAUGGGAUGCACUAACGGAGAUCAGUCAUUUCUUCAGAGAUAUAUGCUCCAGCAAGAUGAAUGUUGAGCACAUUGAGAUGCUUCAAACGAAUAUCAUCGAGACACUAUGCAAACUUGAGAUGAUAUUCCCUCCUUCAUUUUUUGACUCAAUGGAGCAUCUCCCUAUACAUCUACCGUUCGAGGCAAAAGCUGGAGGACCGGUCCAGUAUAGAUGGAUGUACCCAUUCGAACGGUGAGAUAUUACAGUUGCAAUGGAAUUCAUAUCUUAAAGUAUUUUCUAUGUUUUUCUUAUUUGAAAAUACUUGAAUUGUACUUCAAUGCAGGUACUUGUUUAAUCUAAAAAAAAAGGUUAAGAACAAGGCGCAUGUUGAGGCUUCGAUAUCUGAGGCCUAUAUUGUUGAAGAGAUAUCAACAUUUAUCUCGUACUAUUUCGAACCUCAUCUGAGAACAAGAAUCAAUCGCGUUCCACGGCAUGACGAUGGCGGUGAAGUGCCUUCCAGUGGGAACUUGUCAAUAUUCUCCAAUACUGGACGACCCACACCUAAAAAUGCCGUAAGAGGAAGAUAUUUGUCGGAAAUAGAAUUCAAACAAGCACACAACUAUGUUCUAUUUAACUGUGAUGAGCUGAGACCAUUUAUUCAGUAAGUCUAUAUAUGUGUAAUACUAAUUAAACUUUGUCAGUAAUAUACUGUUAAUUAUAUAUUGUAAUAUCAUACACUCAUUAUCACUUGCAGGCAACAUCGACAAUAUUUGCUCUCCAAUAACUCGCAGCUGACCGAAUCCCAGAUCUUUCAAUUACAAGAUGAACAAUUUGCCACAUGGUUCAGAACACAUGUAAGCACUAUCACAAACUCAUUCUAACGUAUGCAUGUCAUUACGAGAUUCUCGUUCAUUUACCGUGUAUUGAUGUACAUUUAAUUACAUAUAUUUACAAGGUUUAUCAAAUGGGAAGGAGUGCGCCCAAGUCAUUGUCUUCACUAAGCCUCGGCCCUGAAAGAAAAGUUAAGUGCUACAACGGGUAUUUUGUCAAUGGAUAUGUUUUCCAUACUGAAGAAUACGGGCAAGGAAGAAAGACAUACAACUGCGGUGUUUGUGUUAAGGGAUCCACAAGUAGCCAGUUAGAAGUUGACUACUAUGGUAGAUUAGAAGAGGUCGUCGAACUGCAAUAUCAUAGCGAGCAGAAUAAAGUGUUUUUAUUCAAAUGCUAUUGGUAUGACACGACGGACAGAGGAAUCAGAGUUGAUCCGCACCAUGGUCUGGUCGAAAUCAACUCAAAAGCUAGACUCCGCAACAUAAACGAUGUCUUUGUUUUCGCAAAGCAAUGUCAACAAGUUUAUUACACAUACACCCCUUCAUUUAGAAAGGAUCGUUCAAGAGUUGAUUGGUUGUCCGUUUUAAAAACGAAACCACGGGGUCGUGUCGAGGUUGUUCAGGAUGAGAACGAAGACACAAGUGUGCGAGAUGAAGUCUUUCAAGUUCGUGAGUUGGUUGAACCAUAUCGAGUUGCUCCUUCGAUUGAAUUGGAAGAAAAUUCAAAUUUUCGAGUUCUCGAUGAUAGUCUUGUUGAUAUUGACGGAGAGGAGUUGAAUGUUGUUCUCAGCUCUAGCGGACAAGCAAAUGUCGAUGAAGAAGAUGAUAUCCAUAUUGAAGAUUGCGAUGAAGAUGAUGACAAUUCAAUUGAUGAGGAAGAAGAAGAAAAUUCCGACUAAUUAUGAAAAUGAAGCCCUAUGUAAAAACAUUUGUCUCAUGUAAUUUAGAUUAUUGAUGAUGUAUUUUGUAAAACAAAAUAUUUAUUGUUUAAGCAAUGUGGUUAUUGUUUUAUGUGAUGGAGUUUAUCAGUUAAGUUUUGCAGGAAGGUAAACAGGCAAUACAAAGACAACCUUUCCUGCAUAAUGCAAAUCACCGACGUCCAUACCGACGGACACCAUCCGUCGGUAUCUCACAGAGAGUUCGAAAAUAUUUACAACAAAAUGCCACAAUCACCGACGUCCAUACCGACGGACAACCAUCCGUCGGUAUCUCACAGAGAGUUCGAAAAUAUUUACAACAAAAUGCCACAAUCACCGACGUCCAUACCGACGGAAACCAUCCGUCGGUAUCUCACAGAGAGUUCGAAAAUAUUUACAACAAAAUGCCACAAUCACCGACGUAUACCGACGGAAACCAUCCGUCGGUAUCUCACAGAGCUCGAAAAUAUUUAACAAACCACCACAUCGACGAUUACCGACGGCUAGGUCCGUCGGUAAUUUGUCGGUCACAUAUUACCGACAGAAAUACCGACGGACCGCGCGAUUUCCAAAGUGUGUUAAUUAAUGCGCCUCUGAACUUGUCAGAUUACCGACGGAAUCACCGACGGACUGCGAAAAUAUGGAGGGCUUUUAAAAAUUCGGGGCGAAAUUCAAAAAUACCGACGGAUUUUUGACCUGUUACCGACGGAAUUUUACCUUUUACCGACGGAUAUUAAUUCCGUCGGUGAUUCCGUCGGUAAAAUUGCCUAUAAGUUCCAGCCCCGCCGCUUCGCCUCAUUUUUUCUUCUCUCCCCGCCGCUUCGCUUCUCCUCCUUUUUCACCUCAGAUUUUUCAUUUUUUCCCCUCAAUCCUUAAACACUUUCACCUUUAAUCUCUAGCAAGAUUUGGUGUUGUAAAUCUUCAUCAUAUUAAAAGGUAUGUGUUUUUUUUAAUUUAUUUUAUUUUAUUUUAUUUUUAGUUGUUUUUAUUUUUGUUGUUUUGGUGUUUUUUGUUGCAAUGUAGAUAAAGUUUUGAAUUUGACACAUUAUUAAGGUAUGUAUAUUUCGUUCCUUUUUGAUGUAGGUUUUUAAUUUUUUAAUUUUUUGUUGUUGUGUUGUUAGAAUUGUUAUUAGUUAAUUUAACUUAGAAUUAGUUAAAGUUGAAUAUUUGAAUUUUUUUGAAUUUUUUGAAUUUGUUGAAUAUUUGUUAAUUUAAUUGUUAGUCUAAUAUUUUUUUUAAUUAUUGAAUAUUUUUGUUGUUUGUUGUUAGAAUUGUUAUUAGUUAAUUUAACUUAGAAUUAGUUAAAGUUGAAUAUUUGAAUUUUUUUGAAUUUGUUGAAUAUUUGUUAAUUUAAUUUUAAUCUAUAUUUUUUUUUAAUUUAUUGAAUAUAAUUUAUUGUUGUAUUGCCAUAUAAUUAUUGAUUAAUUUAUUGAAUUAAUAUUGUUAAUGUUGAAUUUACCUUAGAAUUAAUAAUUGCGUUUGUUGGAAUAAUUAUCGAUUUCAAUUUAAUUUAUUUACUUUUAAUUUAUUUUUAGUUGUUUUAUUUUUGUUAUUUUGUUGUUUUGGUGUUUUUUUUGAUAAUGUAGAUAAAGUUUUGAAUUUGUCACAUUAUUAAGGUAUGUAUAUUUCGUUCCUUUUAUUCAUGUAGGUUUUUUUUUUGAAUUUUUUGAAUAUUUUUUAUUGUUUUGUUGUCAUAAUUAUAAUGAUUAAUUUGUUUAAUUAUAAUUGUUAAUGUUGAAUUGUAAUGAUUAAUUUGUUGAAUUAUAAUUUGUUGAAUUUAUUGAAUUUAUUUUUUGUCAUAUUUUUUUAUUGUUUUGAAUAUAAUUAUUGAUUAAUUUGUUGAAUUAUAAUUGUUAAUGUUGAAUUAAAAUGAUUAAUUUGUUGAAUUAUAAUUUGUUGAAUUUAUUGAAUUUAUUUUUUGUCAUAUUUUUUAUUGUUUUGAAUAUAAUUAUUGAUUAAUUUGUUGAAUUAUAAUUGUUAAUGUUGAAUUAAAAUGAUUAAUUUGUUGAAUUUAUUGAAUUUAUUUUUUGUCAUAUUUUUUAUUGUUUUGAAUAUAAUUAUUGAUUAAUUUGUGAAUUGUAAUUGUUAACGUUGAAUUUAUCUUAGGAUUAAUAGUUGAAUAUGUUGGAAUAAUUAGUAUAGAUUGGUUCGAUUGGUUGUGGCUAUUGUUAACAUUUGCAGGUUUGUGGAUUUGGGUAGUAUCCAGUAUAGGGGAGGUGCUGCCGAUUUUUUUUAACUUUUGAAUUUUAUUAUACAAUUAUUAAUAUAAAAUUGUUUAGAUGCGCAAAAUGAAAACCAGAGUUGGUCGUCCAGUCGAAUCAAGUUCGUCUAGCAGCGAUGAUGAUGUUUCCUUAGGUGCCUCUCAAGAAGAGGCACCUACACCACCUGCGCCGUCAACCGAUGCUGCCUCUUCCAGCGAUGUUUCACAUCGCAGACGCGGCGUGCCUUCGAAGCGGAAUCAAUUUACCCGCCAGUACGAGGCACAGUGGAAGGACGAUCUUUCAAUUUAAGUUUGUUAAGGUUUUAGUUUUUUUUAUAUAUAUAAAAAACAAAUUUAAAACAUAAUUUAUGAAGUAAUCACAAAUUAAUUUCAUUUCUUUUCAGGUUCACAAACAUUGAGGCCGCCCGAGUAAUAUCAUCGGCGUUUAAAGCGUCGAUGGAGAUUCCAUUGUUUCAAUGGAGUCAGAUAUCCAGACAUCCUGAAUGGAUGCCUCAAAUCAAUGCAUGGUUUCGUAGAUUUGAGGUUCAUGUUAAUAUAUAAUUUUCAGCUUAUUUCUAAUAAAUUCAAGUUAUAAUUGUAAAUAAAUUAUUAACAUUUUAAAAAAUUAUUUUUUUACAUACAGCAUCGAUUCUGCUAGGACGAUGAACAUGACACUAUUGUGAGGAGGGUGCGGCAAUUAGGUAACAUCGAAAACAAUACGACUUUUUUUUACAUAAUUAUUUAUGUUUCGAAAUGUAAUUUUUUCGUGCGUGAAUUAGGUUGCGUGAUUUUUGGUAUGACACCCAGAAAAAAGCAAAAAAAACAGCGAGGGAUAAGGGGUUCCAAGGCUGGAACGAUGUUGCGGUUUGGAGGGAUUUCAAACCAAUAUACAUCCCGGAAGAUAUAUGGCCAUACUAUCUUCAGCACGUGACGUCUGAGCGGUUCACUCGACGCUCACAGUCCGGUGCUGGCAACCGGAAUCGGCCAAUUCAUGGCUCGGUGACAACGCACACCGGCGGCUUCGUUCUGUUUUCUGCACAUGCGAAACGAAUGGUAAGAUUAACUUAAAUGAAAUAUAUCAUUCAAUUAAUUUGUUGUUAAUACAUUUUUUUCAUUAUAGGCUACGUCUCUUGGACGUGAGCCGAGCCCUAUAGAGCUGUUUGUGGAGACGCACGUGCGAAGUCAUGACCGCCAAAAGGGGACGCAACAGUUCGUUGAUAACCGUGCUCAACAUUUUGUAGUAUGUUUGUUCAACCAUUUUAUUUUGUUUUGUAAGUUAUUAUUAUGUUUAUUGAAUUGAAUAUGAUGAUUUUUUUUCAGGAGACCUAUAAUAAUCGGUUGAGGGAGAGAUACGGGGACGAUCCAUCGACCCAUCCGAAAUUCGAUCCGGAUUUGUGGAUGGAGGCUGGAUCGUCAGGUGGACCCGAUAAAAAUCGGGUUUACGGGCUCUCCAACACUACCGCGACCAACUUGUGGUCGACCGGUACUGCUUCAACCGCUGGGAGCUCCCAAUCUGUAUCGAGCUCCCAAUCUAAGGAGUUUGUGGCCUUGCAGCAAAGGUGCGACCACCUAUCAGAGGCAUACACACAACUCAAAGAAGAGCAAAGAUUGGCGAACGAACAACACAGAGCAGAGUCUGAACAACAAAGAGCGGCCUAUGAAGAGCUUCCACAAAUGGUCAUGAACAUGACACAAGGUGGAACAUGUGCGCCUAAUCCUUUUUGGCCGCCUAACCCCCAUCCUCCUCCUCCUCCUCCUCCUCCACCUUUAUAUUAAUUUUUAAUUAACAUUAUUUACAUUUAAAAAUUUGUUUAAUGUUUUUUUGAAACACAUUCAUUUUGUAAUGAAUAUUAUUUCACUUUGAGUUUUUGUUGCUUAAUAUAAAUUUUAUUUGCAUAAUUGGUUUGUAUUACCAUUAAUUUAUAUCAUUUUUUCAAAAUAAUUAAAAAAAAAUUAAAAAAAAAAAUUACACAGGGAUUUACCGACGGAAUAACUCCGUCGGCAUUAGACAGUGUCCGUCACCGUCACUGACCAUCACUGACGGAACAAAUCUGUCGGUAUAAAUUUCCCGAUGUAUUUACCGACGGAAAUAUUCCGUCGGUAUAUUUAUAACACCUACGGAAAAUAUUCCGUCGGUAUAUUCCAAGCGGGAAACUUUUUUUUUUGGCGCGCACGGUCCGUCGGUAAAAGUUUUUUUUGUAUUUCUGACCGAUAUAGCGACGGAAUGUGGAAUCACCGACAAAAGGUAUUCCGACGGGAGUAUUCCGUCGGUAAUAUAGUCGGUAAAUGCUUUACCGACGAAAUUUCUAUCACACACCGACGAAAUAUUUCCGUCGGUAAAACUGUGAAAUCUUGUAGUGAAUAUUUUUUUUGAAAAAAAAAAUGAAAUUCUUCUUAUUUUGUUCAUGGUUCAACCUAAAAUCAAAACAUAUAUCAUGAGAAAAAAUUGAUAAUUUUGGUGAUUCUGUUAAAAACAAAACAUAAAAAAAUCAAAGUAUAAUCAAAACAAACCAAUGAAAUAUAUCUAAUUAAUUAAAAAAAAAACACUAUAACAAGAAUUCAAAAAACAAUUGGUAAAAUUAGCAGAUCUAAGAAAAAAAUAAAGCAAUUAUUAACAAAAACAUCUCAAAAAAAAAAAAUAUAAAAUAUUAACAAACAUCUCAAAAUAAAUUAAAUUAAGUUACCUUAUUUUGUUUAAUGAAAAUAAAUUAAUUGAUGGCUCUAUUUCAAUUUUUUCGUUGAAAAAUUUUACUUAUGAUUUAUAUUUAUAUUUUUGUUUUUGACCGGCUGCAAAAUUUAUUGUGGAAAAUAAUGAAUUUAUAUUUACAGGAUUUAUAUUAGGGUAUGUAAAUUAAUUUUUUUAAAUCAAAUUAAAAAAUCACACUUAAUUACAGUAAAAAACUUUUGUAGAAUAAAAAACCUCAUCCACACUUAAUUACUAAUCUAUACGUCUCUUUCCCUUCUCUCUAUCACUCUUGCCUGCAACAACUGUUAACACGAGACUUGAAAUUCAAGUCAAGUGGUGUCCAUCAUCCCAUUUUUCCAAGGGCGGUACCCUAAAGACGUGAUUAUAAUAAAAAGUCUAUAUUUCCUGAAAAAUAGAAAAGAAAAACACUACAAAGCUGAGAAAGGCAGACAACAUCGAUUGUCAAAAUCUGAAGGAUACUCAAAUGAGUUUCGGAAAUAUUGAGGAGGGUGCAGGAAAACCUGAAAAUGUACGAGAGAACACAACCCCAUCACGGGUUGCUGUAAUGUGAUAGAAUUAUGGAAUGAAAAACAGAUUGGAAUGAGCAAUAACUAUUACUUGAUUUUUCUAUUUUCUGGUUGUGUAAUUAUCAAUCUGUAAGUGUUUGUUUGGAAUGCUAGGAAUAGCAAUCUAAUGCAUGAGAAUAGCGCAGAGCAGCUCAAAAUCUAAUUAAAUUUAUGUUUAGUGGAGACUAUGAAUGAUAAGGUAUAUCUGGGGGCACUGUAUGUGUCUGGAUCUGAUUUUUCACAGAAAAUUCGACUGAGGAAAAUCAAUAUCUAUGAGCAAUGCAAACCCUUAAUAGUCUGAAUUAAUGUGUUUCUACACCAUCUGUUUCUUGGGACUGACCGCAUGCUAACCUUAAGUUUGCAUAACAUCAAGCUACAACAAUAUAAUGGAUAUAUGCAAAACACAAGCUCAGGAUUCUACAGUGGCACCAGUUCCACUUAUAACAAAUUGAAGCUACUGUUUAUAUAUAUAGACAUGAUCUAAUGCUAGCAAGCUGCGAAUCAUAUAUUUUAAGCAGUCCACAUUGAGAAAUGAUUUCAAUCUCAUCUUGCCUUUGGGUCAAUUAUUUCAGAAAACACACCCCUUGCUCUUUGAUCUGGAUCACUUUGGGUGACACUUUCACGAGUGCUAACAGUGCUCCUUGAAUGUGACUCCGCUCCACUAAACAUGUCAUCGUCAUCAGUGGUCAUGACAUCUUGAUGUGGUGAAAAUGAGCUUUUAUUUUCCAUAUUGAUCCCGUCUACACUGUUGGCAUUUUUCUCAGCAGAUUGUUGAAGCUGCAAUGCAAAUUCAAGGCCCCAAACGACAUCACCCAUUUUAGGGCGUUCAAUUCCUGAAACAUGUAAGCAACUGUUAGCAAUCUCUGCAAACUUAUUUAAAGAGACAGGGGAAACCUCGCCCUUUAAAUGUGGAUCCACGAUCUGAUCAAGGGUUCCUCUUUGGUAACACUUUCUUGCCCAGUCAGCUAAGCUUGCUUGAUCUUUCGGUGAACUUGGAAUCACUGGUGGCCUUGCACAUAGCACCUCAAACAAAACCACACCGAAUGAAUAAACAUCAGAUUUCUCUGUCAGGUGUUGCCUACGGUAGUACUCUGGAUCCACAUAUCCAAUGCUACCUCUAACUACAGUGCUAACAUGGGUUUGGGAUGUACUAGUGGGACCCAAUCUGGACAGCCCAAAAUCUGAAACCUUAGCCACCCAAUUCUCAUCUAACAAUAUGUUUGUUGACUUCACAUCACGGUGAAUGAUUGUGUGCUUUGCUCCUGAAUGAAGAUAAUGCAACCCUUUAGCAGCACCGAUGCAUAUUUCUAGCCUUUGCUUCCAUGGAAGAGGAGAGUUCUUUGUUUUGUAUAGAUGUUCUCUAAGAGUGCCUCUUGACAUGUAAUCGUAUACAAGAAUCAUCUCGCCAUGAUCAUCACAGUAUCCAAUCAGUGACACUAGAUGGAGGUGGCGCAGAUUGGAUAACAUCUCAAUCUCUGUCUGGAACUCACGUGUCCCUUGCUUUGAUGAUGACUCUAGUCGUUUGAUGGCUACUGCGAUGAAACCGUAUUCAAUGUAUCCUUUAUACACAGUACCAAACCCCCCUGAACCAAUAAUAUUUUGAUCAUCAAAGUUUCCUGUUGCUUCGUUGAUUUCGAAAAAUGUAAACCGUCGGCAAAGAUCAGUAGGCAGUGAUGAAGAGAUUGUAGUCGUGGACCUAGAUGUUUGUGAUAUUAGAGUCCAGGAGGAUUUUUCCUCACUCUUGCUAGGGUCCUUGACUCGCUUCUGCUUGAAAGCAAAGAAAUAAAGAAUAAGAGAGCAAGCAAAUACUGCACCUAUGGAACCUCCAACGAUGGCUAUAACCGUAAGUAUUGAUGAUCUUUUGCCCGUUCUUCUGUCUUGUAGACUUGGAUGUUGUUCUGCUGGUGGAGGAGCCACUGUUGGCUCAGGGUUGAAUCCUGCAAGAUUUCCUGUGUUGUAUUCAGCUUGAAUAUUUCCAAGCCAUUCAAGAUUGCAUCAGCAUAAGUAGGUUUCAGUUCCAUGUUAGGGUGUAGUUCGAGCCACAAGCCCUGCUUGCUCUGGCUCCCUGAGGGACCGCACGAUGUAGUCUUUGUAAACUGGAAUGCCGUUGCCACCGCUCAUAUGGAUCACAUCUGCAUCAUCUGCUGUUUGAUUGUUGAUGAAUAUUAAAAAUACCUGUGAUUUUCAUUUUGAACUCCAUUCGAGUCUCACAAAAGUGGAGCCUAAGGAGAUAAUGAAACCAGCAUCAACUGGGAAGAUCCAUGUGAGAUUGUAAUUCAUGUUAAGAAUGGUUCAGGACCCAUUGAACGCAUAGUACUAUAUACCAUAACAGGUGCGGAGUAAGCUGGCGUUUUGGUUGUGUACUUUAUCUUGACGCCUGGGAGAUAUGGAUGUUUCCAGCUUUUCCAAAGAGAUACUCUGAAUCUUGAUGCCAUGUCCUGUACAUUCCAGUCUUGUCUCCAGUGCUGCUGAUAUCUUGCCCCCCAACAUUCAGUCGAUAAACUGUCUCAAGCGCAGUUGUGUUACCCAGAUAGAAGGUGGGCGUGCCCACAUAGGUCAGUGGAUUAUCAUCGCCACGAGCAUAGAAGCUGUCUGGCAUGGAAACGAUUUCGAUACCAUUAACGAAGGCAAAAGAUGCUGGAGACGGAUGAAGGUUAAUUCAAGCUUCUGGUUGUCCCACACGGUGAUGAUGAACUCUUUGGUGAAGUAGUCAACUGGAGGUCUUAUAGCAGAAACUGUAAGAGAGGCACUAAAGUUGUUUAGUAGCUUGUAGUUGUUGGCACUAAGCGAAAAAUAGGAUUUGGAUAUGUCAAGAUUUGAGUAAGAAGCUGGAUAAAAGUAGAGACGCACAAAUUUUGGGCCAGGCAAGACUGGAAAUGUGUAAGUGAAUUAGAGUGAAAAAUACGG